RNAcentral lists this ribosomal RNA (341 nucleotides) under uncultured soil bacterium. Its description in RNAcentral is "bacterial SSU rRNA". It matches the Rfam family "Bacterial small subunit ribosomal RNA", at positions 26 to 370 of the family's 1533-position model. The record is from RNAcentral.
AGAUUGAACGCUGGCGGCAUGCCUUACACAUGCAAGUCGAACGGCAGCACGGGGGCAACCCUGGUGGCGAGUGGCGAACGGGUGAGUAACAUAUCGGAACGUGCCCUGGAGUGGGGGAUAACUAGUCGAAAGACUAGCUAAUACCGCAUACGAUCUACGGAUGAAAGUGGGGGAUCGCAAGACCUCAUGCUCGUGGAGCGGCCGAUAUCUGAUUAGCUAGUUGGUGGGGUAAAGCCUACCAAGGCAUCGAUCAGUAGCUGGUCUGAGAGGACGACCAGCCACACUGGGACUGAGACACGGCCCAGACCUCCUACGGGAGCAGCAGUGGGGAAUUGUAGACA